GAUGAACGCUGGCGGCGUGCCUAAUACAUGCAAGUCGAGCGAACAGACGAGGAGCUUGCUCCUCUGACGUUAGCGGCGGACGGGUGAGUAACACGUGGAUCACCUACCUCUAAGACUGGGAUAACUUCGUGAAACCGGAGCCAAUACCGGCUCAUAUAUUGAACCGCAUGGUUCAAUAGUGCAAGACGGCUUUGCUGUUUCUUAUAGCUGGAUCCGCGUCGCAUUAGCUAGUUGGUAAGGUAACGGCUUACCAAGGCAACGAUGCGUAGCCGACCUGAGAGGGUGAUCAGCCACACUGGAACUGAGACACGGUCCAGACUCCUACGGGAGGCAGCAGUAGGGAAUCUUCCGCAAUGGGCGAAAGCCUGACGGAGCAACGCCGCGUGAGUGAUGAAGGUCUUCGGAUCGUAAAACUCUGUUAUUAGGGAAGAACAAAAGUGUAAGUAACUAUGCACGUCUUGACGGUACCUAAUCAGAAAGCCACGGCUAACUACGUG
This 497-nucleotide ribosomal RNA is filed under the name uncultured bacterium. RNAcentral describes it as "partial 16S ribosomal RNA". It matches the Rfam family "Bacterial small subunit ribosomal RNA", at positions 28 to 507 of the family's 1533-position model. The record is from RNAcentral.